GGGUUGGUAGCUCAGUCGGUAGAGCAGCGGACUUUUAAUCCGUUGGUCGGGAGUUCGAGCCUCCCCCAACCCACCA
RNAcentral lists this transfer RNA (76 nucleotides) under Zoogloeaceae bacterium. RNAcentral describes it as "tRNA-Lys". It matches the Rfam family "tRNA". Rfam says of the family: Transfer RNA (tRNA) molecules are approximately 80 nucleotides in length. Their secondary structure includes four short double-helical elements and three loops (D, anti-codon, and T loops). Lineage: Bacteria; Pseudomonadati; Pseudomonadota; Betaproteobacteria; Rhodocyclales; Zoogloeaceae. The record is from RNAcentral.